AGUGGUGAGAGAAGGGGCUGAUGGAGGAGCGGAGAUAGGACACUGUGUAGGGGCUCUCGGAGCCGAAGGUCGUGGGCCUGAAAGAAGGGGAUCAUCAGGCCCUACUGGCUGAGGACCAAAACCUAUUCCUAGGAGAGAGCCUAGAAUGAAGGAGAAUGGCCCCUGGGAGCCAGAGACCCUCAUCCCAGGAGUUGGUGACAUUCAAGGAUGUGAUCGUGGACUUCACUAAGGAGGAGUGGGGCCUUUUGGACCAUUCUCAGAAAGAGCUGUACAGGGAGGUCAUGCUGGAGAAUGUCCAGAACAUGCUGU
Trichosurus vulpecula (common brushtail) is the source of this 309-nucleotide long non-coding RNA. RefSeq lists it as uncharacterized. Lineage: Eukaryota; Metazoa; Chordata; Mammalia; Diprotodontia; Phalangeridae. The transcript is spliced from 3 exons. The record is from RefSeq and is a predicted model, not a curated record.